GUUGUCAGCUUUGCCACUGCUCAUAAGAUUUUUCCCAUCUGUGUAAUCAGUUGUCAAGAUAUAUCUUUUUGCUUCUAGAAGGUAUUCAUUCUGCCUACACCUGAUGCUAUUUUUCCUAUGCGGUGUUGUUUUCAUGCCUGAAAUUCCAAUGGAAAUAAUGAGCUGAAAAUACAGUAAAUUCCAAUAGCAUCUGUUUUGUUAUUGCUAAUGGUAGUGCUGUUUUUUGGUUGGUUCUAGUGAAAUUCAUGGUUCUGAAUGGUGCUAGCUCAACAGCCCCUAUACUGAUGUUUUUCUUUUCAGUAGAGCAGAUACAGGAACCAUGUAGGCUUUACUAAAGCUCUCAGCAAGACUGAGAGCAGCAUACCCCCUUGGUUAUAUCUUUGCAACAACUGACAAUGAAGGAGCCUAUUACAAGUGCAAACAUUGUUCAUAACGUGUGCUGUAGGCUGUGAUUCACAACAAAUAGCCUAAGACAAACCCAUUUCACAGCUCUCCCAGCAGCAGGAUGGGAUCCCAUUUGUGGCUGGAACUCUCUGAGUGCUUCCUGAGGAAGGCAAAGGAAAAUCUUUGUAGGGAGAUUUAGAUGAGAUGACGGUGACUGAUUGCACACCCUGAAGAGGCCUUGACCCAGCUGACUGAUUUAUUCAGACUUGUCUCAGCUCUUGGUAAUGUCACUUUCCACAGGGAGUUCAAAAUAGAAGCACAACAGUGGUAGGCUUUCCUACAUUGAAGAAAUCUCUCUUUGAAGAAUUCAUUCCUCUGGAAUCAACACAAGUCUAGAAGAAGAAACUCCUGCGUAUGAUGAAUCUCAGUGCAGACCUCUUAUGUCUGUAUAAAUGUGAGCCCUUUUAUUUUGCAUUUCUUCGGCUGUCAGAAACAUACUGACUCCUCUCAGACAUGUAUUAGGUAGUGCCUCGAGUUCCCACCAGGACACUGCUUCCUUGGGUGGGACAGUGGGCUGGAGGAGCGAGAAAAUCACAGGAUCACAGCGUGGUUAAGGUUGCAAGGUGAUCUGCUCCAUCUGGACCAACUGUUUGAGCAGGGACACCUGGAGCAGGCUGCCCAGACCCACGUCCAGGUGGCUUUUGAAGAUCUUUGUGGAGCUGACUCCGCAGCUUCUCUCUCCCUAGCAACCUGUGCCAGUACUCUGUCACCUGCGUGAUAAAGAAUCUUGUCAGGACUUCUGGCAUUUUAUUUCAAGCAUUCUUUUCUGUGCAGCAUCUUUGUGCAAUUUUUUCAAGAACUGAAAGAGUCACAUGUGCAGACUGACCUCGAUGAGCAUUCAAGAGCCGGAUCUGUUCAUGUCUUCCAAAUGCAGACUCCCCAUCUUUCCUCUCUCUCUUUGUCAGCAAUUACAUGAGCUCAUUGUUGGUCAGAUCCAGCAACUGAAGUACCAGUGGGAUUCUGAUCUAAUUUGGUGUCCCAUCAAAUUCUUUGAUAUAGCUAUACAACAGCUCAAUGUUUUAGUGUGUAGAGUUAAAAAAAACUGCUCUCCUGGGUGUAUUGGGCCUGCUGAUGUUUUCUUGGCUUUUAGAACAGAAAAUCUAACUAAAAUAAUAACCGCAUGAACUACCUCAUUUUUUCCUAUUUAUUAUUGUUACUCAAGCACAUGGUAUGCCUGAAGGUAAGCUAGCCAAGAAAGCAGUGUAGACAAACUAAGAGCAAGCAAACACUAUGGAGAGCCAGCACAGAGCAUCAUGAUCCAAACCAGGGAAACUCCAGCUGCUGGGUUAAUUAUUGUUAUUUAGUCACAUGCCAGAAAGCAUGUGAUUAAUUGCAGCGAGAAAAUGCACUGCCCUUCAUUGACUUUAAAAGGAUUCCACCUGCCAAGAAGAAAGAUGAAAUCUGGGAAGUUAAAAGGCUGAAACAUUAAAAAGGAAGAGGGAGAUAGAAGUUGAUAGUGGUUCUGUAGCAGGGGCAAGACUGCGUGCAUGAGUAAGGGACUGACUCGCUUAUUCCUAGAGGUGAGGACUGCUUUCCAUUCUCACUGCUGGAGAAUUCAUUUACCUCCAGCCAGGUCAUUUCACUCCAGAAAAGGAUGAGCAACAUUUGUGGUCUUUAGUUACAAGAAGAUUUGCUUUGCUGACUAAACAUGUUAGGACUUUUGAGGCAAAGAGAGCCAUAGAAGGAACAGUGCUCUCUCCCCCAGCAGAUCUGCCUGGUGAAGGAGUCCCCACGGCAGCAGGGAAGCUGCUUUACCAUCUCACCUCCAGCUGAUGACAGAGCUGGAGUUUAUCAGCAUGCUG
Numida meleagris (helmeted guineafowl) is the source of this 2246-nucleotide long non-coding RNA. RefSeq lists it as uncharacterized. The record is from RefSeq and is a predicted model, not a curated record. Lineage: Eukaryota; Metazoa; Chordata; Aves; Galliformes; Numididae. The transcript has 4 exons.